GGUGGCUCAAUGGUAGAGUGCUUGCCUUGCAAGCACGUGGCCCUGGGUUCGAUUCCUUAGCACCA
This 65-nucleotide transfer RNA is filed under the name Dipodomys ordii (Ord's kangaroo rat). It matches the Rfam family "tRNA". Rfam says of the family: Transfer RNA (tRNA) molecules are approximately 80 nucleotides in length. Their secondary structure includes four short double-helical elements and three loops (D, anti-codon, and T loops). The record is from Rfam by way of RNAcentral. Lineage: Eukaryota; Metazoa; Chordata; Mammalia; Rodentia; Heteromyidae.